RNAcentral lists this long non-coding RNA (751 nucleotides) under Nicotiana tabacum (common tobacco). RNAcentral's name for it is "long non-coding RNA (NTAB_LNC010627)". Lineage: Eukaryota; Viridiplantae; Streptophyta; Magnoliopsida; Solanales; Solanaceae. The record is from RNAcentral.
CAAGUAUAUUAAUCACCAUAUUACAAUCUCUCUAUCUUAAAAUCCCUGUGUAACGUAUCAGAGAACCAAACAACCCGUUGAGGUUCUGCACUUUGACAACAAAUGGUAGAGAAACUAUGUAGCUGCAAUGCCAGUUACUAUGAGGGGGCUCACCAAUUCUAAACAUUUAUGAAACAAGUUUAACAGAUACCCAUUGUAACAUAUAAGCUGACAAUUAUGCCAGAUUUAUAUGCAAGACGCAUGCUCUAUAUAUACAACAUCACCGACAGGGAAUAUACAGUGAUGCAUUGAAUACGCAAAAAGGUGAACAUAUAGUAAGCUGUUAGUUUGUGCCCUCCAAUGCACCCUUGGCCUUCAUUCUUCCUAUUCUCAUUUUCAAUUUUUUCCUUUGGUCCACAUUUUUUCCUAAAGUUGAAGCAUCGAACAGGAGGGAAAAACACAUAGUAUCAACAGGAUAUUCUAUAUUACGCCUGCAACAUUACCUGAGCCCGCAGUUGGAGAUGGGGAAACAUGAGCUCUUGCCCGAUGAUUAUUAUGACGGUGAUGUCUUGCCACUCGGCUGGCAAUUGGACUGGGGGCUAGACCUAAAGAUUAGAGGUUCACAUCAAUAAAAUCCCAAGAAGUCCUAAAAGAUGGUGUAAAGAAGUAACUUGUAGUACCUCGAGAUGCAGGGGAAGGAGCAGGUGCACUAGAGUGUUUCGGAUAUUGCUUAAAAUGGUGUCUAUGGGGUGCUGACAUUGGUGCAAAUGAG